AACAUGACUCUCGGCAACGGAUAUCUCGGCUCUCGCAUCGAUGAAGAACGUAGCAAAAUGCGAUACCUGGUGUGAAUUGCAGAAUCCCGUGAACCAUCGAGUUUUUGAACGCAAGUUGCGCCCGAGACCUUCUGGUUGAGGGCACGUCUGCCUGGGCGUCACGC
RNAcentral lists this ribosomal RNA (164 nucleotides) under Muhlenbergia richardsonis. Its description in RNAcentral is "5.8S ribosomal RNA". It matches the Rfam family "5.8S ribosomal RNA". Rfam says of the family: 5.8S ribosomal RNA (5.8S rRNA) is a component of the large subunit of the eukaryotic ribosome. It is transcribed by RNA polymerase I as part of the 45S precursor that also contains 18S and 28S rRNA. The record is from RNAcentral. RNAcentral also lists the same sequence under 3 other names. Lineage: Eukaryota; Viridiplantae; Streptophyta; Magnoliopsida; Poales; Poaceae.